Molecule: long non-coding RNA, 1076 nt
Organism: Etheostoma cragini (Arkansas darter)
Lineage: Eukaryota; Metazoa; Chordata; Actinopteri; Perciformes; Percidae
Exons: 3
Source: RefSeq, a predicted model, not a curated record
UUUUAUUUUAUUUUUUUAAAUUUUCUCGCAGCCCACUCAAAAGUGCAGCGUGAUGACGUAUUUAUAUUUGGACUCCUACGACGGCAUCUUGCUAAAAAACAAACAAACCGUCACGUAGACUCAAUGGUAAGCUACCCUUCAGUUAGUGCGUUCUGGAGAAUGCUACAGUCGAGAAAAAAUAAGCUAAAAAAAUCGAUAGGCUAAUAGAACGCUGAAAAGAAGAGAAAUAAAAACCGGAAAUUUCUAAGUGAUGUGGCCACAUGACCUAAACUGAGGAACUUUUUCAUUAAAACAGCGAAAGUGAAAGAAAACGAAGACGAUGUGACGGCUCCUCAGCAGCAGCCAGAAGUCCAGUGUGCUGCUAGAAGUGACAAUGAAGCGCUAGUACCAAUCACCAGCUCCAGGUGGGCAGAUGUUGAACUGCAAACACAUUCUUUGAAAUCAGGUGCGUGCCUCAAUCUUCUUUUAUGCUUCCCCUGAUUUCUGCGACAGUGUUCUCUACCGCAUUGGAGAUGUGCCUUGACUUAAAUAUCAUCCUAAUGUUCUCCUUGUCACAAUACAUUCAAACAACAUCAGAUCUACAAGCUCCGGGACACGACCACAAGCCAGGAGAGCUUGAUGUUUGAAUACAGAAGGGUCAGAUGGUAUUAUUAAGGUGAGGCUCUGGUUAGAGGAGUCCCAGUAAGGUGGAUGAUAACAUUAGAAAACAAGUCGACGGCAGAUGCUGCUUAGGCCACUGUGUGAGCGAAAGUUGAACAGUUCAACCCAGGCCUUUUCCAGAUGUCAACAAAGCCACGGUAUCUAAUCUGAUGCCCUUGUCUCUGGGAUUCAGUCACUGGGCCGUCAUUCAAAUUUGAACAAAACGUCCGCUUUGAAAUCAAUUCUUGGACACAAGGCAACUGAAAAAGACAAUAUACAUGGAGGAGGACAGCAAAUCAGAAAGAAAGAGAUCAUUAUUUAUACAAUUGCAAUGCGACAUCAGCUGUGAUUAUGGUUUUUGCAUCGCCAAAGGAAAAAUCAGUAUGGCUUGUUGUGACUCACGGAAUUCUCCUGUGCUUUCACUGAAACAAAGCGAG